GACGAACGCUGGCGGCGUGCUUAACACAUGCAAGUCGAACGGAAAGGCCCUGCUUGCAGGGUACUCGAGUGGCGAACGGGUGAGUAACACGUGGGUGAUCUGCCCUGCACUUCGGGAUACGCCUGGGAAACUGGGUCUAAUACCGGAUAGGAGCCAUUUUUAGUGUGAUGGUUGGAAAGUUUUUUCGGUGUAGGAUGAGCUCGCGGCCUAUCAGCUUGUUGGUGGGGUAAUGGCCUACCAAGGCGGCGACGGGUAGCCGGCCUGAGAGGGUGGACGGCCACAUUGGGACUGAGAGACGGCCCAGACGCCGACGGGAGGCAGCAGGGGGGAAUAUUGCACAAUGGGCGCAAGCCUGAUGCAGCGACGCCGCGUGGGGGAUGACGGCCUUCGGGUUGUAAACUCCUUUCGCUAGGGACGAAGCUUUUUGUGACGGUACCUAGAUAAGAAGCACCGGCUAACUACGUG
This 465-nucleotide ribosomal RNA is filed under the name uncultured bacterium. RNAcentral's name for it is "partial 16S ribosomal RNA". It matches the Rfam family "Bacterial small subunit ribosomal RNA", at positions 28 to 507 of the family's 1533-position model. The record is from RNAcentral.